RNAcentral lists this ribosomal RNA (1459 nucleotides) under Staphylococcus aureus. RNAcentral's name for it is "bacterial LSU rRNA". It matches the Rfam family "Bacterial large subunit ribosomal RNA", at positions 1466 to 2925 of the family's 2925-position model. Lineage: Bacteria; Bacillati; Bacillota; Bacilli; Caryophanales; Staphylococcaceae. The record is from RNAcentral. RNAcentral also lists the same sequence under 3 other names.
GGGGGGACGCAGUAGGAUAGGCGAAGCGUGCGAUUGGAUUGCACGUCUAAGCAGUAAGGCUGAGUAUUAGGCAAAUCCGGUACUCAUUAAGGCUGAGCUGUGAUGGGGAGAAGACAUUGUGUCUUCGAGUCGUUGAUUUCACACUGCCGAGAAAAGCCUCUAGAUAGAAAAUAGGUGCCCGUACCGCAAACCGACACAGGUAGUCAAGAUGAGAAUUCUAAGGUGAGCGAGCGAACUCUCGUUAAGGAACUCGGCAAAAUGACCCCGUAACUUCGGGAGAAGGGGUGCUCUUUAGGGUUAACGCCCAGAAGAGCCGCAGUGAAUAGGCCCAAGCGACUGUUUAUCAAAAACACAGGUCUCUGCUAAACCGUAAGGUGAUGUAUAGGGGCUGACGCCUGCCCGGUGCUGGAAGGUUAAGAGGAGUGGUUAGCUUCUGCGAAGCUACGAAUCGAAGCCCCAGUAAACGGCGGCCGUAACUAUAACGGUCCUAAGGUAGCGAAAUUCCUUGUCGGGUAAGUUCCGACCCGCACGAAAGGCGUAACGAUUUGGGCACUGUCUCAACGAGAGACUCGGUGAAAUCAUAGUACCUGUGAAGAUGCAGGUUACCCGCGACAGGACGGAAAGACCCCGUGGAGCUUUACUGUAGCCUGAUAUUGAAAUUCGGCACAGCUUGUACAGGAUAGGUAGGAGCCUUUGAAACGUGAGCGCUAGCUUACGUGGAGGCGCUGGUGGGAUACUACCCUAGCUGUGUUGGCUUUCUAACCCGCACCACUUAUCGUGGUGGGAGACAGUGUCAGGCGGGCAGUUUGACUGGGGCGGUCGCCUCCUAAAAGGUAACGGAGGCGCUCAAAGGUUCCCUCAGAAUGGUUGGAAAUCAUUCAUAGAGUGUAAAGGCAUAAGGGAGCUUGACUGCGAGACCUACAAGUCGAGCAGGGUCGAAAGACGGACUUAGUGAUCCGGUGGUUCCGCAUGGAAGGGCCAUCGCUCAACGGAUAAAAGCUACCCCGGGGAUAACAGGCUUAUCUCCCCCAAGAGUUCACAUCGACGGGGAGGUUUGGCACCUCGAUGUCGGCUCAUCGCAUCCUGGGGCUGUAGUCGGUCCCAAGGGUUGGGCUGUUCGCCCAUUAAAGCGGUACGCGAGCUGGGUUCAGAACGUCGUGAGACAGUUCGGUCCCUAUCCGUCGUGGGCGUAGGAAAUUUGAGAGGAGCUGUCCUUAGUACGAGAGGACCGGGAUGGACAUACCUCUGGUGUACCAGUUGUCGUGCCAACGGCAUAGCUGGGUAGCUAUGUGUGGACGGGAUAAGUGCUGAAAGCAUCUAAGCAUGAAGCCCCCCUCAAGAUGAGAUUUCCCAACUUCGGUUAUAAGAUCCCUCAAAGAUGAUGAGGUUAAUAGGUUCGAGGUGGAAGCAUGGUGACAUGUGGAGCUGACGAAUACUAAUCGAUCGAAGACUUAAUCAA